Molecule: ribosomal RNA, 965 nt
Filed under: uncultured bacterium
Lineage: Bacteria
Description: bacterial SSU rRNA
Rfam family: Bacterial small subunit ribosomal RNA
Source: RNAcentral
GCAGGGGCUCGUAAGACCUUGCGCUUUUGGAGCGGCCGAUGCCUGAUUAGCUUGUUGGUGGGGUAAUGGCUUACCAAGGCGACGAUCAGUAGUUGGUCUGAGAGGACGACCAGCCACACUGGGACUGAGACACGGCCCAGACUCCUACGGGAGGCAGCAGUGGGGAAUUUUGGACAAUGGGCGAAAGCCUGAUCCAGCAAUGCCGCGUGAGUGAAGAAGGCCUUCGGGUUGUAAAGCUCUUUCAGUCGAGAAGAAAAGAUUGUGACUAAUAAUCACAAUUCAUGACGGUAUCGACAGAAGAAGCACCGGCUAACUACGUGCCAGCAGCCGCGGUAAUACGUAGGGUGCAAGCGUUAAUCGGAAUUACUGGGCGUAAAGGGUGCGCAGGCGGCUUUGUAAGUCAGAUGUGAAAUCCCCGGGCUUAACCUGGGAAUUGCGUUUGAAACUACAGAGCUAGAGUGUAGCAGAGGGGAGUGGAAUUCCAUGUGUAGCAGUGAAAUGCGUAGAGAUAUGGAAGAACAUCGAUGGCGAAGGCAGCUCCCUGGGUUAACACUGACGCUCAUGCACGAAAGCGUGGGGAGCAAACAGGAUUAGAUACCCUAGUAGUCCACGCCCUAAACGAUGUCAACUAGUUGUUGGGCCUUAUUAGGUUUGGUAACGUAGCUAACGCGUGAAGUUGACCGCCUGGGGAGUACGGUCGCAAGAUUAAAACUCAAAGGAAUUGACGGGGACCCGCACAAGCGGUGGAUUAUGUGGAUUAAUUCGAUGCAACGCGAAAAACCUUACCUACCCUUGACAUGUAGCGAAUACUCUAGAGAUAGAGUAGUGCCUUCGGGAAUGCUAACACAGGUGCUGCAUGGCUGUCGUCAGCUCGUGUCGUGAGAUGUUGGGUUAAGUCCCGCAACGAGCGCAACCCUUGUCAUUAAUUGCCAUCAUUUAGUUGGGCACUUUAAUGAGACUGCCGG